RNAcentral lists this ribosomal RNA (253 nucleotides) under uncultured bacterium. RNAcentral's name for it is "partial 16S ribosomal RNA". It matches the Rfam family "Bacterial small subunit ribosomal RNA", at positions 524 to 776 of the family's 1533-position model. The record is from RNAcentral.
UACAGAGGGUGCGAGCGUUAAUCGGAAUUACUGGGCGUAAAGCGCGCGUAGGCGGUUAUUUAAGUUGGACGUGAAAUCCCCGAGCUUAACUUGGGAAUUGCGUCCAAAACUGGAUGACUAGAGUAGAGUAGAGGUGAGUGGAAUUUCCGGAGUAGCGGUGAAAUGCGUAGAUACCGGAAGGAACACCAGUGGCGAAGGCGACUCACUGGACUCUAACUGACGCUGAGGUGCGAAAGCGUGGGGAGCAAACAGG